AGCGGCGGAUGGGUGAGUAACACGUGGGGAACCUGCCCCUAAGUCUGGGAUACCAUUUGGAAACAGGUGCUAAUACCGGAUAAUAAAGCAGAUCGCAUGAUCAGCUUUUGAAAGGCGGUGUAAGCUGUCGCAAAGGGAUGGCCCCGCGGUGCAUUAGCUAGUUGGUAAGGUAACGGCUUACCAAGGCGACGAUGCAUAGCCGAGUUGAGAGACUGAUCGGCCACAUUGUGACUGAGACACGGCCCAAACUCCUACGGGAGGCAGCAGUAGGGAAUCUUCCACAAUGGACGCAAGUCUGAUGGAGCAACGCCGCGUGAGUGAAGAAGGUUUUCGGAUCGUAAAGCUCUGUUGCUGGUGAAGAAGGAUAGAGGUAGUAACUGGCCUUUAUUUGACGGUAAUCAACCAGAAAGUCACGGCUAACUACGUGCCAGCAGCCGCGGUAAUACGUAGGUGGCAAGCGUUGUCCGGAUUUAUUGGGCGUAAAGCGAGCGCAGGCGGAAAAAUAAGUCUAAUGUGAAAGCCCUCGGCUUAACCGAGGAACUGCAUCGGAAACUGUUUUUCUUGAGUGCAGAAGAGGAGAGUGGAACUCCAUGUGUAGCGGUGGAAUGCGUAGAUAUAUGGAAGAACACCAGUGGCGAAGGCGGCUCUCUGGUCUGCAACUGACGCUGAGGCUCGAAAGCAUGGGUAGCGAACAGGAUUAGAUACCCUGGUAGUCCAUGCCGUAAACGAUGAGUGCUAAGUGU
Molecule: ribosomal RNA, 743 nt
Filed under: uncultured bacterium
Lineage: Bacteria
Description: bacterial SSU rRNA
Rfam family: Bacterial small subunit ribosomal RNA
Source: RNAcentral